AGUGCAACGCAUGGGCGA
This 18-nucleotide small nuclear RNA is filed under the name Arabidopsis thaliana (thale cress). RNAcentral describes it as "snRNA_02233". Lineage: Eukaryota; Viridiplantae; Streptophyta; Magnoliopsida; Brassicales; Brassicaceae. The record is from RNAcentral.